Molecule: transfer RNA, 85 nt
Filed under: Rickettsiales bacterium
Lineage: Bacteria; Pseudomonadati; Pseudomonadota; Alphaproteobacteria; Rickettsiales
Description: tRNA-Leu
Rfam family: tRNA
About the family: Transfer RNA (tRNA) molecules are approximately 80 nucleotides in length.
Source: RNAcentral
GCGGGUAUGGCGGAAUUGGUAGACGCACUGGAUUUAGGUUCCAGCGGAGCAAUCCAUGGGGGUUCAAAUCCCUUUACCCGCACCA